AUACGGAGGGUGCAAGCGUUGUUCGGAAUCACUGGGCGUAAAGGGCGCGCAGGCGGUUUGGUAAGUCAGAUGUGAAAGCCCACGGCUCAACCGUGGAAGUGCAUUUGAAACUGCCAGACUUGAGUACCAGAGGGGAAAGUGGAAUUCCCGGUGUAGAGGUGAAAUUCGUAGAUAUCGGGAGGAAUACCGGUGGCGUAGGCGACUUUCUGGCUGGAUACUGACGCUGAGGCGCGAAAGCGUGGGGAGCAAACAGGAUUAGAAACCCUAGUAGUCC
RNAcentral lists this ribosomal RNA (274 nucleotides) under uncultured bacterium. RNAcentral's name for it is "partial 16S ribosomal RNA". It matches the Rfam family "Bacterial small subunit ribosomal RNA", at positions 523 to 796 of the family's 1533-position model. The record is from RNAcentral.